Molecule: long non-coding RNA, 707 nt
Filed under: Homo sapiens (human)
Lineage: Eukaryota; Metazoa; Chordata; Mammalia; Primates; Hominidae
Description: HSALNT0321269
Source: RNAcentral
GAGAAAGUAAUCUAGAAGACAAUGCACAAUUAUCUAUGUUAAAGUUUUACUUUUCUGUUUUUUAAUUUGUAAUAGAUAAUACUGUACACAUGAUAUAAAAUUUAAAAUCACCAAAAAGUUAUUACAAAUAAAAGUAAAUUUCCUUCUUAUUCCUGACAGGCAUUAUCUAGUUCCUUCCCCCUGAAACAACUAGCAGUAUCAGUUUUCUGUGUAUCCAUAUCGAUGGUAACGUUUUAAAUCCAGUAUACCCCAUCAUCCCCAGAUGAAACCGUCUAGCUGCAGGAAAGCAAGCUCAAGGUUCCCACUGAUUCUACAUUAUGAAUGUAAGUUCCAUGAAGGCAGGCAGUGGAUUGGUCUUGCCUACUGUUGUAACCCCUGUCUGGCAGAGUUCCUGGAAAACAGCAAAUAACUGUAAAUGUUGGCCAAGUAAAUACUUGUUAUCUACUUCCAAUUUCAUAAAACUUUCUCUUCCCUUGAGUUCUGUUAUACUCAACUUUUCUGUUUUUCCUCUUCUAUCUCUGACUACUCUUUCUUUGGCUUAUCUUCUUUGUUGCUUUUGGUAUUGUCCAAGUAUUUGUCCUUGGCUAUCUUCUUAGUUCUGCUAGCAGUUUCUUCUUGGUAAUCUUAUACACAUCAGGUUUUCAACUAUCAUCUCUGGGUAGAUGAUUUAAUAUGUUUUACCCCAACUUCAAUCUCUUUUUUUUUUU